Manis javanica (Malayan pangolin) is the source of this 534-nucleotide non-coding RNA. NCBI's taxonomy places the organism in Eukaryota, Metazoa, Chordata, Mammalia, Pholidota, Manidae. The record is from RefSeq and is a predicted model, not a curated record.
UGUGAGGUUGCAAUUUUUUAAAAUGUAGCUGAGAAGCAUCAGGCAGUCGUGCAGACGGCCUGCCGUGGGCCCGCGGACCGGGAGUUGGGAAGCAGCUCGCGGGCGGUGCAUGGGGGGCUGCCGCGGGGGUUUUCUGGCCCCUCAGCUCUUACGAGGUGGGGACGCAACCCUGGGCGAGUCGCCACUGGCCUGUCUGUUUCCUCGCCCUAAGUCUAGGGGGGUCUUCCGGGGUGAAAGGAGCGUCGGGUGACGGGCCCGCUGCGAAUGAUUUCCGGAGUCGCUGGGACGAGCCCCGUCCGGCGUCCCAGCGGCAGCAGCGCCUCGGGCAAAGGCUGCGGGCAGGCCGGUUCCGGGCCCGGUAGCAGCCCGGCGGUCCCCGCCCACUCGGCUGGAAGCCGCCGGACGGCUUUGAAAAACAAGAAAGGCGACCGUGAAGCAAGGGGAUCCAGAAGACACGACCGCAAAAACAGCAUCUUAUGGGAGAAUUAGAGUGGCUGUUAACACGAUGAGAGCCCAGGAUCUUUGCAGCAGGAG